GACGAACCGAGCGAACGUUGUUCGGAAUCACUGGGCUUAAAGGGCGCGUAGGCGGGCUGUCAAGUUUGGGGUGAAAUCCCGCGGCUCAACCGUGGAACUGCCUCAAAUACUGACGGUCUCGAGGGAGAUAGGGGCGAGCGGAACUAAUGGUGGAGCGGUGAAAUGCGUUGAUAUCAUUAGGAACUCCGGUGGCGAAGGCGGCUCGCUGGAUCUUUUCUGACGCUGAGGCGCGAAAGCUAGGGGAGCAAACGGG
RNAcentral lists this ribosomal RNA (253 nucleotides) under uncultured bacterium. Its description in RNAcentral is "partial 16S ribosomal RNA". It matches the Rfam family "Bacterial small subunit ribosomal RNA", at positions 524 to 776 of the family's 1533-position model. The record is from RNAcentral.